RNAcentral lists this ribosomal RNA (253 nucleotides) under uncultured bacterium. RNAcentral describes it as "partial 16S ribosomal RNA". It matches the Rfam family "Bacterial small subunit ribosomal RNA", at positions 524 to 776 of the family's 1533-position model. The record is from RNAcentral.
UACGGGGGGGGCAAGCGUUGUUCGGAAUUACUGGGCGUAAAGGGCUCGUAGGCGGCCAACUAAGUCCGACGUGAAAUCCCCAGGCUUAACCUGGGAACUGCGUCGGAUACUGGAUGGCUUGAAUCCGGGAGAGGGAUGCGGAAUUCCAGGUGUAGCGGUGAAAUGCGUAGAUAUCUGGAGGAACACCGGUGGCGAAGGCGGGUCUCUGGGCCGAUACUGACGCUGAGGAGCGAAAGCGUGGGGAGCGAACAGG